CAAACGAGGAUUUACCCCAAAAUAUGUGUUGAUCACUGCAGAUUAUGAAUUAGAGUGGAUUUGAUUAUUUGUGUUGUGGGUUUCAUGAUUAUGGAAAAAAGUCAGGAGAAUGUGUGAUGACACGUGGCUCUUUAGGAUGAUUACCUGUAUAGCAGCCCAGGUGGUGGAGUGGUCAUGGUUUGUCGUGGUCAAUCGACUGAGCUCGUAUCAUUUCCUUGACCCGAAAUCGAUUCAGUUGUUUUAGAUUUCUGUAAAACCCUUAAAUAGUUUCGGUUUACAAUACGGUUGUUUAAACCCUUGUUAAUCUGAAUACCAAACAAUUUACAAAGCACUACUUAAUAAUUUUACAAAAAUUUGUAAAUAUAUAUAUUAUCAAUUCAAAAACCAUUUUAAUAAAUUAUUUUCAUGCUUUUGAAAUAUUUAAUAAUUAAUUAAUUAUUAAUAAAUUAUAUAAGAUAAAGUUUUUUAUUAAAAUAUUUUUAUUACGUAAAAUAAAAUUGAAAACAUUCAUACAUACAUAAAUAAUAUACGUUUAUUUAUAUAUAUUUUUUUUUAAAAUAUUCAAAAGAUUAUGAUGUAAAAUAUUUUUUUUGGAUACAUAAUAUGGAAUCUUUUUAGAUAAUGAUGAUUAUCAAAUUCAUGAAAUUUGUUUUUUUAAUUUAUGAGUAAUUAUAUAUAACAAAUCUAAUCAAAUUAUUUAUUAAAGGUAAUAAAUAUUUUAAAAUAUAAUUAAACUUAAAAUUAUGGAGAAUAUGACAAAUCAACAAAUAAUAAUAUAGAUAGCUAACAGAUGUUAAGGAUGAGCAAUAAUAGUAUCUCAAAGGAGUUUUUUUUGAAAGAAGUAUCUCAAAGGAGUUUCACCCAAAAAUAUGUGUUUUCUUGGACAAAGAUGUUAUUUCAUUCUACUAAAAGUUUUUUGGUGCAAUAUAGUAACCAAAGUUACUCUCCAUUACCGGAAAAGGAAAACACAGCUGCUACAAAGAUCAAAGCAUUUAUAUCUAAAGAAAAUGCAUAAACAAAAUCACCAAAGUAAUUCAAAUAACGAGGGGAUAAUCAGGAGAUAGAAAACACUUGUAAAGAACAACAUUCCUAUAAACUCAACGGUGGCUUCGAUUGAUUUGAAGCGUUUUACAGUGACCUGACGGUUCAAGAGCAUUUGCAGGACCAUAACGAUUUCUUCCAAUGUUGAGAAGAUGGUGUUUUUAGUGCCAAACCUUUGAUGUCGACCCUUACUGCCACUCUACAGAACCGGACAUGAGAUUUUCGCGCAAGGAAACUUCAUGAGCCUUUGAAGACAACUUUCCCAAACGAAAUGAGAUAGUUAAUCUACCAACAACCAAGAACAUCUGUAUGACUCGUUUGUUCACAAAUGUGUUGUUCUUAACAAGAGUUCUAUUAUACAUGUGCCUUGUUUGUGGUUGGAUUAUCUUUACCAUUAUGACUCCUUUGUGGAGAUUUGUGUUGCAUCAAAUUCUCCUUUUGUUUGGAAACCUUUUAAUGCAGGGAUCCUACUAUAUAAAAGAAGCUAAUUUGGGAUGUUCUAAAGGGUGCCACAUGGGCAAAAUAAUCCCCACCUAUCAUAUUGCCAUGUCACUAUGGGCUGGAUCUCAAACCAAUUUGAAAUUCCGGCCCAACCUUGCCCAUUCCGGCCCAACCUUAAUUCUCCUACUACCUCCUUCCCGUAACCUAAUCCUCCACUCUACCAAAAGGCCAUAGCUUUCUCAAGAAGGAUGGAUCGAUCGUAAGACAUGGAAGGGUUCCUACUCCCUCAGUUUUUCACCCUAUAUAAACUCCUACUCAUAUUCUCUGCUCAACACAAAAUCACAUAAACCCAUAAAAGCACAUCCGGUGCUGGCUAUCAAAGCAGCGAAUCUCUUAGUUGAUAUCAUGUUUAAUCCACGGACUGGAGUUGGCUCUUCUUUUGUCAUCUUGAGCGAGUCGAUGUCUCGGUCGCUACUACUGUAGUGACGGCGAUCAUUUCGAUGGUGAUUAGAGUCUGAAAAAACUGAUGACAUGUCUGAGGAUGACGAAAAGGAAGAAGACGGAAAAGCGGCCAUUGUUUCAGAGGACAGUUAGAUCGUAAGGGUUCUUGCUCAAAUAUUGUCUCUGAUACAAUAUCUAUCUUUUUCAGGUUUGUGCAGGAAUAUUACAUACAAACCGAUGGAUCUUCAGUCAAAUAAUGUCUUAAAAGCAGCUACUCAAAUAAGUCUCUGAGUCUCUGAGACCAGAAGAAACUUAAAGCGGAGCCAGGCUAUUGAAGCACAUCCUGCUUUAUUUUCUCAGUUUAGGGUAAAGUAUGUUGUUCCUUUGUGAAUUCAUUUCAAGUCUAAUAUUUAACUGCAGUAUGAAAAAACAUUAUUAAUGAUAUAUACCUAGGAAUGUGAUCUCCUUCUAUUAUUAUAUUCUUUGAAUUCAAGAGCUUCAAUGCUGGACAGAUCACAGCAGAAUCAUUUAGCUUGGUGCACAAACAGGCUAGGUUUCUCCACUGCUUGAUAUUUUCAUGGUUAUUUUGCAUCUUUCGCUACAUUUGUAGGAAAUAGUUUUUUUUUUGCAGGAAAACCAUCAGUUUCAAAUAGGCAGGCAGAUCCCUUUUCCCCAAAUGCAUGUUUGUAGUUGCAUUACAAGUUAAUUUAACUUCCGUAGUUUCUGGUGAAAAAUCAUAGCACCUUUUUUUCCCACAGGUCUCUCACAAUUUCACUUGGUAUAUGUCAUCACUAAGCUUGGCAUGUUAUUUGUAUACAAUUUAGACACUGCUUCUGCUAAUCUACAGAAAUCUGAUAAGUCCACACCCAAUUUUAUCGGACUUUUGAAGCUUUCUGAGUUGGAGGGUUUUAUGCCAGUUAGACAAGUUCUUUUGGCUAAAAAUCUACAGUAAUACCUUUUAUUAGUGGUCCAGUGUGCAUAACCUUGUUUUCAGUUUUUCACAGUAGAACUAUCUAUUUCAACUUGCCAUGUGAAGAAUACUAUGCUAUUGUACAACAGUUGAACAAUUUUGAAAAUCUGAUUUGUUUCCUUGGUUCAGAUGAGUGGACCUGUUCUCUUGCUGAAAUAUUUAUAGUUAACGAACAGAACCCGGUCUUAAAUUUUCUGUUCUAGAAACUUUUUGCACAACAAUUUGUAGCUUUCGUUUCUAUAGUUGAUGUGGUUUUUAAUCUUUCCAAUUUUUUAAAAUGGAGCAAGAUUUUUCGUAGGUGGAUUUUUUUUUUGCUGCAGUGUAUGUAACAAAAUAGAAAGAGUUCUUUCCCCAAAGAAAAUUAGAAUUCAGCUCAAAAGUUGUAAUGUAUGUGCAUCAGCAGAAAUGCUUCAAAGUUCAAAUGUAUCUCGCAUGGAAACAACAGGUCUGUAAGACAUUUUGACCUCAGGUGAUGAUGAUGAUAGGUGGUAGGUGGUUUCAGUGGCAAUGAUAAUGAGGAUAGGUGGCAGGUGGUGAUGGUACAGUUGAUUUGGUUCUUGGUUAUCUCGAUGAGAGACAUAAAGAAUGGCAUGAAGCUUUUGAUAUACACAACUUUGCUAUGUAAUUUUUAAAAAUUCUUAUAUCCAAAUUAUAAUAAAAAUAUAUGUUUUAUACAUGGAUAAUAACUUGAUCAUAAAAUAAGAAAACAUGAUGUACAACAAAAAAAAAA
Molecule: long non-coding RNA, 3623 nt
Organism: Brassica rapa (field mustard)
Lineage: Eukaryota; Viridiplantae; Streptophyta; Magnoliopsida; Brassicales; Brassicaceae
Source: RefSeq, a predicted model, not a curated record